UUUUACGGCACUCUACCCACUUCCCAAGAGUGCCAAUCGGGCAGCGACACUCCUCCUCCAAGUCGCUGCUCACCAAUCAAAGCCUGCCGCACCCUCCCGCGGCAGGCUUUUUUG
RNAcentral lists this small RNA (114 nucleotides) under Rhizobium sp. RU36D. RNAcentral describes it as "Alphaproteobacterial ar14". It matches the Rfam family "Alphaproteobacterial ar14". Rfam says of the family: Smr14C2 was renamed NfeR1 (Nodule Formation Efficiency RNA) highly expressed in salt stress and during the symbiotic interaction on legume roots. The record is from Rfam by way of RNAcentral. Lineage: Bacteria; Pseudomonadati; Pseudomonadota; Alphaproteobacteria; Hyphomicrobiales; Rhizobiaceae.